This 119-nucleotide ribosomal RNA is filed under the name Pteropus alecto (black flying fox). Lineage: Eukaryota; Metazoa; Chordata; Mammalia; Chiroptera; Pteropodidae. The record is from RNAcentral.
AUCUACGGCCAUGCCAUCCUGAACAAGCCCGAUCCCCUCUGAACAUGGAAGCUAAGCAGGGUCGGGCCUGGUCAGUACUUGGAUGGGAGACCACCUGAGAAGACCAGGUACUAUAGGCG